Cygnus atratus (black swan) is the source of this 1131-nucleotide long non-coding RNA. RefSeq lists it as uncharacterized. Lineage: Eukaryota; Metazoa; Chordata; Aves; Anseriformes; Anatidae. The transcript has 4 exons. The record is from RefSeq and is a predicted model, not a curated record.
GUGUCUUUGCGAGCCUUCAGUUUUUCUUUGGUCACAGUGCUUCCUGGAAACAGAGCAAAAUGUCCCCGAACUGGCUGCAGGAUCCGUGACCUGAAGGAAAGGUGCUGGUUUGGGCUCAGGACCAUGCUAUUGUGGCAGUGGUGGCAGCGAGAGUGUCUCUGAGUCACGAUGAGCUGGAGGUGGCUAAUGAACGUCAGCUGGUACAAAAAGGCUGGGCACUUCUCAGCUGCUCCACGGCCUCGUGACUUCUCCUGGUCCACGUCUCAGCCUCAUUGCUCCAAGCCAGGCCAAUGCUUGGGGCAGUCCUUCAGCUCCCUAGGGCUCCCAGCCAUCCUUCAAGAUGCCUCCAGUCUUCUUCUGCCAUCUGCUCUCCUCCAUUCCUGACAUCUCCAGAGCCUCACUCCUCACCCACCAGUACAUCUCGAGGACGUGGUGCUUAGGGACAUGGUUUGUGUCACCAGGACGAUGUCAUUGUCAUGCGGUCAUUGUCACCACAGAAGCUCCUUGCUCCAUCGAGAUGAGGAUGUGGCUCUCGGUGAUGGGAACGCUGGUGGCCUGCCCUUGUUUCAUCCUUUGGCAGCAAGUCCCAGCCAGCAGCAGACGACACCUGUAGCAUCUUAAGGGAGGAAACGGGUGGCACGCAUGGCCCGAGUUCCUGCACAAGGACUGCCAUUGUUCAGGCCCUGCUGGCAUUGUCUUUACCGCCCGGCCUGGCAUGCUCCCAUGUCCUCAUUUCCCCCGCUCGCUGUGGCUGUAUCAGUCCCUCAACCUCACCACGUUACAUGAGAGGGAAACCUCAGCUCAUGCCUGCGACCGUAAGCUCGGUUUCCUUCCCGCUGCACUCAUUUCCCAGCAACGGUGACAAGCAGCUUCGAUUUACUGCCUCUGAGGGAGUUUUAGGCUGAAGGCUUUAUGCAAGCCAGAGCGUGGCUGCAGCCAGGGGCAGGACGUGGGUCCCGCAGCCUCCAUCCCUGUGCCACCCUUGGGUGCAGGAUGGCCGUGUGGGUCUUUCCUGGGAACAAACAUCCACAGGGAUGCAAUUUGCUGCUCGUCUUACACUGACCCAGCUAUCGUUAGCUGAUGAUUUUCAAUGGAGGUGCUCGUGCCUAAUGGGAGAUUGCCAAGCUAGGA